GCAGGAGUAGUUCACGUUAGAAGAACAGUUCCCUUCCAAGGAAAAGGUCAGCAGUGCAAUUCUGCUCUCCUGCU
RNAcentral lists this transfer RNA (74 nucleotides) under Aliifodinibius sp. S!AR15-10. Its description in RNAcentral is "tRNA-Gly". It matches the Rfam family "tRNA". From Rfam's summary of the family: Transfer RNA (tRNA) molecules are approximately 80 nucleotides in length. Their secondary structure includes four short double-helical elements and three loops (D, anti-codon, and T loops). Further hydrogen bonds mediate the characteristic L-shaped molecular structure. tRNAs have two regions of fundamental functional importance: the anti-codon, which is responsible for specific mRNA codon recognition, and the 3' end, to which the tRNAs corresponding amino acid is attached (by aminoacyl-tRNA synthetases). tRNAs cope with the degeneracy of the genetic code in two manners: having more than one tRNA (with a specific anti-codon) for a particular amino acid; and 'wobble' base-pairing, i.e. permitting non-standard base-pairing at the 3rd anti-codon position. Lineage: Bacteria; Pseudomonadati; Balneolota; Balneolia; Balneolales; Balneolaceae. The record is from RNAcentral.